CCCAGUCUGAGAUCUCUGCCCAAGUCACUGGUGCCCCACAGGGGCUCUUAGGCUGGUCCUGUUGUCUGGCCCGCCCCACCCUUCUAGCUGGGUCCCUGGCCCCGCGUGAUUUCUGGUCCCACCCCCUGAUUCCUGGCCCCAGGCAACCCUCUGAGCUUGCCCUUUGGCUUCAGAUAAACAGUGCAGGAUCUUUAGCCCAGUCCUAAGUCCAGACCCCAACUUUCCAGCCGAUCUUAGCUCCUGGCCCUGAUCCCUGGAUUCAGGCCCUGGAAGUUGAGCCCCCAUCGGGCGAGGGCUCCCGGGCGGCGCUCCUUGGCUCUCCACCUUCUCCAGCCAGUGCUGCUGCCUGCCAAAGCCCUCUAACCAUCCCACAUCCCAGCCUUCCCCCCUCUUUGAAAAUAAGAUCACAUCAAGUCAGGGAUUAAAAUGGGAAAAAUUCCACCAGAGCCUCCCUCUGCCAGCCACACGUCUCAGUCCCCUCCCAGACACACACAGCUUGGUCCACGUUCCUGGAUGCCUCUGCCUCUCCCGGGACACCGCCUGGGCAGCAGAAACAGCUGUGGAGUCGGACCGGCCGGCUCCCGAGGCCAAGAGCUCCCACUUCCUCACACACCCCUGGAGGAAAGGCCAUGUGAAGACUGCAAGCCUGAAAGAUUGCACCAGAAACCAAAUCGGCCAGAAGCUUGAUCUUCGCCUUACAGCCUCCAGAACUGUAAGAAAGUAAAUUCCUGUUGUUUAAGCCACCCAGCCUGUGGUUCUCUUUAUGGCAGCCCCAGCAGACGAAUGCAGAUGGAUGAGAUCGAGGGGGGGCUUGAGGAGCAUGGAAAGGACCCGGAAUGAAUUGAGAGGUUUCCAGCUCAGGCAACUGUAUGGGCACGGAAGUUGCUCACUAACCAGGGGUGAGGUGAGGGAAGGCAGGUGUUGAGGGAUAUUUGCAUAAGAUGUGACCACGUGACCGUGGGAUAUUCAGGCCUAGAACUCAGAGGAGAACUGGGCUGGAUCAGGAUUUGGGAAUUAUUAGAGUGAAGGUGAAGUCUUCGGAGUGAUUACAUUUCAGAUCACGUAUUAUUCUUUCUUUUUCAAUUGGUUCAUUCUAAUUCCAGUGUCAUACUAUAUCAGCUUUUGUCUUUUAUAUUUUUAUAAAAAGCCAGACAUUCUCCUUUGUUUUUAAAAAGUAUAACUGUGCACAAAUUCACCCCAAUUUUUAAAUGACUUAGUUUUCUUCUACUUGUUCAGAGCAAGUCUUGUUUAGGAGCAUAACUGAUAUGUGGUUAGAAUUGCACAUUUUUUCCUGAGGUUCAUCUUGUCUUCACUAUUUAUGAUGCCAAUUCUCUUGUCAUUUUAUCCAAUUUCAAAAUAAUGCCCUAGCCGGGUGCUCAGUGGUUAGAGCCUCAGCCCGUGGACGAAGGGUCACGGGUUCCCUUCUGGUCAAGUGUAAAUACCUCGGUUACACGCUCAACCCCAGCAAUCAAUUGAUGUGUCUCUCUCACAUUGAUGUGUCUCUCUCUCUGUCUCUCCCCCUUCCUUCCACUCUCUUUAAAAAUCAAUGGAAAAAAUAUCCUCGGGUGGGUGAUAAUUAACAAAAAACCAAAAUAACAAAUCUCUCUUUACUUUAGCUUGCCAGAUAAUUUAUCAUUCAAAAAUUUAGCAAAUGCUUACUUCUUUCCCUUAGAGUUAAACUUGAAAGGUACCAUGUGUUUAGUUCUAGGAUGAGCUAUUUUUUCAUCUCUGAAAACUUUUCUUGUAUUAUUUCUUUCUUU
Long non-coding RNA from Myotis daubentonii (Daubenton's bat), 1760 nucleotides. RefSeq lists it as uncharacterized. The record is from RefSeq and is a predicted model, not a curated record. NCBI's taxonomy places the organism in Eukaryota, Metazoa, Chordata, Mammalia, Chiroptera, Vespertilionidae.